GGAAGGUGGAGCAGGUCCUUUCCUGUGGUAGGUCUGACUGUUGGCCCCAGUCAAGGAGGUGCAAAGGAACCAAAGAUGAAUUCACAGUAGCUUCCCACCCAAGUGGCCACGGCUUUGCGCUGAGUGUAUUUGACAAGCUGAAUUCAGACACUCAAUUCUAAACAGUGUCAGUUUGUCAAAUACCCCAAGUGCGGAGCUGAAAAGCAACUGAACAUUCCCCAGGGCUGAACGAGGCUUGGAGAUAUAAGCACACUACUGACAAGGCUCCAUUAUCUGCAUGUAUAUAUAUAAAAUUAAACACACAUGCAUGGCUCAAGAGUGAAAUAAACAUUAAGUGUAAACUAGAUGAUAAGUGUUAACCAGAUGAUAGAGUUGGUAUAUUUAAGAUUGGAAGUGUACUUACAUUGGAUUUAGCAAAAGAUUGUUAAGAUUAAACCAAAUGCUAUUAUGUAUGAUAUAAAGAAAUAAGGUUGAUGACGUAUUAAUGUGCUAAAGUAGAGAGUCAAUUAAAGUUUGAGUCAUUCAUCCAGCACUUACCGAUCUGUAUAAUUAACACAAGUGUACAGAACCUCAGGUAUAUUUGCUGAUGACUACAUUGGAUCUGUGCCUUUGCAUGACUGAAACAAAUAGGUUAGGUAUAUUUUGCUCUUCCUGUUUGGAGAAAGUGCUCCAUAGUUUUCACCAAAUAUUCAUGAAAUAUCUAUCGAGAAAGCGCUGGGAAACGAAGAAAGGUAAAAAAAAAGGCAUUUAUCCGAGUUUAAAAGGGCUAUAUUUUUCCAUUGCAGAAUUAAAAGUAUGGAUUAAUUAAAACGUUAAAUAUCUUCAAUGUUUGGCCUCCACAUUACGUUCUGAAUUGUAUUUGCAUGAACCACUCUUUGCAUGAUGUUAAUAAAGCUGCUUUGAAUACCCCU
Molecule: long non-coding RNA, 911 nt
Organism: Leucoraja erinaceus (little skate)
Lineage: Eukaryota; Metazoa; Chordata; Chondrichthyes; Rajiformes; Rajidae
Exons: 2
Source: RefSeq, a predicted model, not a curated record